Molecule: unclassified non-coding RNA, 478 nt
Filed under: Hevea brasiliensis (rubber tree)
Lineage: Eukaryota; Viridiplantae; Streptophyta; Magnoliopsida; Malpighiales; Euphorbiaceae
Source: RNAcentral
GUGUGUACUCAAAAAAACACAUGUAUGAUGAUCCUGAACUUACUGAGAUGAAGAAAAAAGCAAACAUACGAAGUUUGAAGGAGAUGGCCGUGAUUUUGAGGGAUGGUUCACAAAUAGUGUGGAUUGCCCCAAGUGGUGGUAGGGACCGCCCAGAUCCUCUGACUGGAGAAUGGNNNNNNNNUUUGAAGCUGCUUCAGUGGACAACAUGAGAAGGCUUGCUGAACAUUCUGGUGCUCCAGGACAUAUUUAUCCCUUAGCAUUAUUAUGCCAUGACAUCAUGCCCCCUCCACUGCAGGUGGAAAAAGAGAUCGGAGAGAAAAGAGUGAUCUCCUUUCAUGGGGCUGGAUUGUCAAUUGCACCGGAAAUCGGAUUUUCUGAAAUUGCUGCUGCUUGUGAAAACCCUGAAGAGGCUAAGAAGGCAUAUGCACAGGUUCUAUAUGAUUCUGUGACUGAGCAAUACAAUGUGCUUAAAUCUGCC